GGGGAUUUAGCUCAGUGGUAGAGCACUUGCCUAGCAAGCUCAAGGCCCUGGGUUCAGUCCCCA
Non-coding RNA from Rattus norvegicus (Norway rat), 63 nucleotides. Lineage: Eukaryota; Metazoa; Chordata; Mammalia; Rodentia; Muridae. The record is from Rfam.